Molecule: unclassified non-coding RNA, 1064 nt
Filed under: Hevea brasiliensis (rubber tree)
Lineage: Eukaryota; Viridiplantae; Streptophyta; Magnoliopsida; Malpighiales; Euphorbiaceae
Source: RNAcentral
CACCAUUCGACUACAUCAUUGGCACAGAUGUUGUUUACGCAGAGCAUCUCUUGGAACCACUGUUGCAGACAGUAUUUGCUUUGUCUGGACCCAAAACCACAAUUUUGAUGGGGUAUGAGAUCCGUUCUACAAGUGUUCAUGAGCAGAUGCUUGAUAUGUGGAAAAGAAACUUUGAAGUGAAAAUCGUUCCAAAGGCUAAGAUGGACAGUAAGUACCAGCAUCCAAGCAUCCAACUUUACAUCAUGGGAUUAAAGCCUCCAUCUGGGAGUAUAGAAAACAUGACUCAUAAGAUUGAUCAGCAAGCUGAUGAAGUUGAAACUGGAAGUGAAAUACCAAAAGAUGACAAUGGUGGGAAUAGUAAUAACAUGAAUAACACGGAUUAUUGCAAUAAUGAAAAAGCUCAAGAAGAUUGUGAACUAGCGAUAAAGUUUCCAAAAGCAAAACUUACUGACUGGGAAGCAAGAAGGCUUGGCUCAAUGGCUGCUCGGCUUCUUCGAGAUGUCAAGAUAACAUAAACUUUCAGCUCUGGCAUUUGCGAUUUAUCAUUUGUAAUUAGCAGUUUGCAUGGGAUCUAAAUGCUUUGCUUUCAUUGAAUUUAUUAUCAGUGUCUAAACGCCUGACUUCAAAUUUUGUGGAUGCAUUGGAACAAGACCGGAUAUGAAUGAUACAGCAUAUGCUGCUUCCAAUUUGAAGUAAAUAUUCAGGCCAUUGGCACUGAAGAACUCCUUAUUCUAGUUCUGUUUGGAUCAAAACAAGCAAGGUGGGAGCCUGGAGGGUACCAUCUGGUUUAUGGAAACUUAGACCGAUGAAAUGGAUCCUUGGGAAAUAAGAUCUGAACAAUGGACAUUGAAAUGGAGGGGGUGCCAGCAACUGAGCAUGCUGAAAGUAUCGUAGUCAUUGCAAUUGCAUGAUAAACACAAGUGAGUCCUGACAAGCGAAGCUGACUUUCAACAGUUGCAGCAGAUAUUUAAGAACUUUCAAUUAUGCAUGUGAACAGCAUAUGAAAAGCUUAUAAUUUGUUUUCUGGCUGUAUUGCUCCCUUUCUCUCUCUCUCUCUCUCUCUC